UGGUAAUGCCGGAUGCUCCGGUUGGAUGCAUGUCCUUCCGGGAAAGAUUCUAUCGGUAUGGGAUGGGGUCGCGUCCUAUCAGCUUGAUGGCGGGGUAACGGCCCACCAUGGCUUCGACGGGUAGCCGGCCUGAGAGGGCGACCGGCCACAUUGGGACUGAGAUACGGCCCAGACUCCUACGGGAGGCAGCAGUGGGGAAUAUUGCACAAUGGGCGCAAGCCUGAUGCAGCGACGCCGCGUGCGGGAUGGAGGCCUUCGGGUUGUAAACCGCUUUUGAUCGGGAGCAAGCCCUUCGGGGUGAGUGUACCUUUCGAAUAAGCACCGGCUAACUACGUGCCAGCAGCCGCGGUAAUACGUAGGGUGCAAGCGUUAUCCGGAAUUAUUGGGCGUAAAGGGCUCGUAGGCGGUUCGUCGCGUCCGGUGUGAAAGCCCAUCGCUUAACGGUGGGUCUGCGCCGGGUACGGGCGGGCUGGAGUGCGGUAGGGGAGACUGGAAUUCCCGGUGUAACGGUGGAAUGUGUAGAUAUCGGAAAAGAACACCA
This 541-nucleotide ribosomal RNA is filed under the name Bifidobacterium dentium. RNAcentral describes it as "bacterial SSU rRNA". It matches the Rfam family "Bacterial small subunit ribosomal RNA", at positions 161 to 711 of the family's 1533-position model. The record is from RNAcentral. Lineage: Bacteria; Bacillati; Actinomycetota; Actinomycetes; Bifidobacteriales; Bifidobacteriaceae.